RNA transcript from Nicotiana attenuata, 4313 nucleotides. It is a transcript of the gene named protein HIRA, with no coding region annotated. The transcript has 11 exons. The record is from RefSeq and is a predicted model, not a curated record. Lineage: Eukaryota; Viridiplantae; Streptophyta; Magnoliopsida; Solanales; Solanaceae.
CUUAUGCAAAAUCCAAUCUUGACAUAACUUUAUGUGCACAAUACCACUACUACACAUUACAAAUCCUCUUAUGCCUCUCUUGUAUUUCUUCUGAGUUUUUACCCUACACAAUACAUGCUACACACUUCACUUCUUUUCUCUUCUGUUUUAUAUAAGACUCAUAGUGUACUUAGAUUAGAACACAUAUUUUAAGAUUCGUUUUGUUUUCCUUAAUCAUUCUUUCUUUUGUUUUUUCUUUUUUGCAGUCCUUUUCCCCUCUCCAAUCUUUCAUUAGAUUUGACAGUUAACCAAAACAAAGGUAAAAAACAUAUAACCAAGAAAUUUGCAUAAACACUUCGACCCACUUCACCUGUUACUUCCAUUCUAGGGCUUUUUUUUUUUAACUCAAUAAAUCAAGAUAUUUUUCCCCUUUUACUCCUUUUUGGGGAUUUUUUUCCUUCUUAUUCCUAAUUUUAUCAACUAGGGUUACCUCUUCACUAUUUUUUUUUUCUUGGGGGGUAAAUUUUUUGUUGUAUUUGAUUUUGGGGUUUUUCUUCUUAUUUACUAGUUGGUAUGUUAAUUUUUAAGUUGUGGGGUUCUUGUUGGGGUUUGAAGGGUUUAGAGUGAAAAAGGUUGAGUCUUUAUUCUGUAUCAGUUAAACUAAGAUAAAAAAUUGUGGUUAAGAUGAUUGCUGAGAAACCCAGUUGGAUUAGACAUGAGGGUAUGCAGAUUUUCUCUAUUGAUAUUCAGCCUGGUGGCCUUAGGUUUGCCACUGGUGGUGGUGAUCACAAGGUUAGGAUAUGGAACAUGAAAUGUGUGGGUAGGGACUUGGAAGCAGAUGAAUCUACACCGAAACUUCUUGCCACACUACGCGAUCAUUUUGGGUCGGUGAACUGUGUUAGAUGGGCAAAACAUGGUCGAUAUGUUGCUUCUGGCUCUGAUGAUCAGGUAAUUCUAGUCCAUGAGAGGAAACCUGGCUCAGGAACCACAGAGUUUGGCAGUGGAGAGCCCCCUGAUGUAGAGAAUUGGAAAGUUACUAUGACUUUGAGAGGACACACUGCAGAUGUGGUGGAUCUAAAUUGGUCCCCAGAUGACUCGACAUUGGCUAGUGGUAGUCUCGACAACACCAUCCAUAUCUGGAGUAUGAGCAAUGGUAUAUGCACUGCAGUUCUGAGGGGUCACUCCAGUCUUGUUAAAGGUGUCACAUGGGAUCCGAUUGGUUCUUUUAUAGCUAGUCAAUCAGAUGAUAAGACUGUCAUCAUUUGGCGAACAAGUGACUGGAGCCUUGCUCAUAGAACUGAAGGUCACUGGGCAAAAUCUCUUGGGUCAACCUUCUUUAGGCGGCUUGGAUGGUCACCCUGUGGACACUAUAUAACUACUACUCAUGGUUUUCAAAAGCCUAGGCAUUCUGCUCCUGUUCUGGAGAGAGGGGAAUGGUCUGCCACUUUUGAUUUCUUAGGACACAAUGCUCCUGUUAUUGUGGUUAAGUUUAAUCAUUCUAUGUUUCGGAGGAAUUUGGCUAAUGCGCAGGAAGUGAAAAAUGCGUCUCUUGGAUGGUCAAAUGGUUCUUCAAAAAAUGGAGGAAAAGAGUCCCAACCCUACAAUGUUAUUGCUAUAGGAAGUCAAGAUCGCACUAUAACUGUGUGGACAACAGCAAGUCCACGUCCUCUUUUUGUCGCUAAACAUUUCUUUUCUCAAAGUGUUGUGGAUUUAUCAUGGAGCCCUGAUGGAUAUUCACUCUUUGCAUGUUCUUUGGAUGGAAGUGUAGCCACUUUCCAUUUUGAUGGGAAUGAACUAGGCGUUCGGUUAUCUGAUGCUGAAUUAGAGGAGCUGAAGAGAAGCCGCUAUGGUGAUGUUAGAGGUCGACAGGCAAAUUUAGCCGAAAGUCCAGCGCAACUAUUGCUUGAAGCAGCAGCUGCAAAGCAAAGUUCAAGCAAAAAAAUAACUAAGGAUCUUACACAAGUUCAAGCAACCUCAAAAUCUUCUGUUGAUUUGGUGAGUGUGGUGAAGGUUCCCAAGCCACAAUCUGAUAACGGGAAAAAGACCGAAGGAGUUAGCAGCGAUAGUUUAAAUAAACCCGCAGCUUCUACCCGCAUGUCAAGUCCCGUGAAGCAAAGAGAGUACAGACGGCCCGAUGGUCGAAAGAGGAUAAUUCCAGAAGCAGUUGGUGUGCCUACCCAGCAGGAGAACAUCUCCGGAAUUCCUCAAUCUCCUACUAUUGAAUUCCCUAAUAAGACAGUGGAUCAGAGGAAAGAUGAGAAUGGUAUGGUACUGUCCGAUGCAAGUGUUAGGGAAGGAUUUGUAAGGAAAACAGUUGGUCUCAGUCCUGACCAAAAGGAGCGCUCAGGUGUAACUGCUAGAGCUACCAUCAGUGAGAGCCUCAUCAUUGAGAAGGUUCCGCCUUCUGUAGGCAAGGAUGGAAACAUCACCAUAGAACAGAUGGGAAUCAUCAAGGAUCUGUCUCAUUUGGGUUCUGGUGGUACUCUUUUAAUCAGGGUUUUUGAUAAUAAAGAAGGGGAGGACACUGGUCCAAUUUGCUUAGAGGCUCAACCCAGAGAACAAGCUGCUAAUGAUAUUUUAGGGGCAGGAAAUUCAUUUGUAAUGAAAGAAACUGAGAUACUUUGUACAAGGGGGAGUCAAACCCUCUGGUCUGACCGGAUUUCUGGAAAAGUUACUGUUUUGGCUGGAAAUGCCAACUUUUGGGCUGUGGGAUGUGAAGAUGGAUGCGUUCAGAUUUAUACGAAGUGUGGACGACGUGCCAUGCCGACCAUGAUGAUGGGAUCUGCUGCAGUAUUUGUUGAUUGUGAUGAAUCUUGGAAGUUUUUGCUUGUCACAAGGAAAGGGUCAUUAUAUCUAUGGGAUCUAUUUAAUCGGAAGUGUCUCCUUCAAGACUCAUUGGCUUCCCUUUUGGCUUCAGAUCCAAAGGCGAAUGCAGGCACAAUCAAAGUGAUAUCAGCAAAAUUAUCAAAGUCUGGUUCUCCUCUUGUUGUCCUGGCCACACGGCAUGCAUACCUCUUUGAUAUGAGCCUCAUGUGCUGGCUGAGGGUUGCAGAUGAUUGUUUUCCUGCAUCGAAUUUUUCAAGCUCCUGGAGUUCGGGCUCGUUGCAUGGUGGUGAGCUAGCGGCAUUGCAGGUGGAUGUUAGGAAGUUCCUGGCUAGGAGACCCGGUUGGAGCAGAGUCACAGAUGAUGGGGUACAAACACGUGCUCAUUUGGAGGCUCAGUUGGCUUCUGCUCUUGCUUUGAAGUCUCCUAGUGAAUAUCGUCAAUGCCUUUUAUCCUACAUCCGGUUUUUAGCAAGAGAGGCUGAUGAGUCACGCUUGAGAGAAGUUUGUGAGAGCUUUCUUGGGCCUCCCACAGGGAUGGCCGAGGCUGCAUCCUCUGAUUCAAAUAAAACUGCUUGGGACCCUUGUGUACUUGGUUUGAAAAAGCAUAGGCUCCUUAGAGAAGACAUACUUCCAGCAAUGGCAUCAAAUAGGAAAGUACAGCGGCUGCUCAACGAGUUCAUGGAUCUCAUCUCAGAAUAUGACGACACGAGUGUUGAACAAAACAAUGUCGCGACCAUCACAUCAACUGAAAUGAAUUUUGAACAGUCCAAUGUUGCAACUACUACAUCUGUUCUGGCUACAGAUAAGAUGGAUACUGAUGUCCCUACGACUCAAAGAACAGUUCCACAGACACCAAUAACUAACCCAACACCUUCCACGUCUUUAAAUGACCGAGAGAAUCCUACUCGUCUUGCUGUACAAUCAAGUGAUCAUGUUGAGCCUUGUAUGCUUUUGAAAGAAACAAUGGACUCGGAUCAACAAGAAACUGAUGAAGCUAAAUCUGUACCACCUCCAACAGAUCAGAUGAGCUUGGAUCCACCUGCAUCAGUUGAAUCGGAACCGUCUCCUUCACCAAAGGAGAAGGUUUCUUGAUGUAUAUUUCAUUGUAGAUUAGAUGUAAUAGUCAACUUGAAGAACUGCUGACAUGCUGUGGACUGUAAAGCUGUAAAGAUUGUCUUAGUGGAUGCACCUAGCAGGCACCUUGCCUUUGAUGCAAAUACUGAGGGCAGCCCGGUGCACUGAGCUUCCGCUAUUGGCGAGGUCCGGGGAAGUGCUGGACCACAAAGGUCUAUUGUACGCAGCUUUAUCCUGCAUUUUUACAAAGAGGUUGUUUUCACGGAUCGAACCCGUGACCUCCUGAUCACAUGGCAACAACUUUAUCAGUUACGCCAAGGCGGACAAUUCCACAAAAAAAUUCCAUCAACCAAAUUGAAUUUUUAUCUAAACCUUUUGUUUUAUUUUAUAGGGUCUAAUAUGAUUUGUAUUUUCUCGCACCCAAGAAAAAAAAA